This 98-nucleotide transfer RNA is filed under the name Streptomyces spororaveus. RNAcentral describes it as "tRNA-Ala". Lineage: Bacteria; Bacillati; Actinomycetota; Actinomycetes; Kitasatosporales; Streptomycetaceae. The record is from RNAcentral.
GCGCUGCCUGGUGCGGGAUGCGCGGCUCCGGUCCCUGGCCCGGACCGCCGGGACCGCCCGGACCGCCCGUGCCCGCGUUCGGGGCCGCGGGCUCCGCG